CGUGUUAUAUGCCUUUAUUGUCACGUUUAUUUUUCGUUGACGUAUUGAUAGCUAUUAUUAAUUAGCCAGCGAAUAAAUUGACAAGCCCGAACAACCCGUUCGGGCUUUUUUUUGGGUUCCA
This 121-nucleotide small RNA is filed under the name Paraclostridium bifermentans. RNAcentral's name for it is "Clostridium bifermentans MicC RNA". It matches the Rfam family "MicC RNA". From Rfam's summary of the family: MicC (previously known as IS063) is located between the ompN and ydbK genes in E. coli. This family of Hfq-associated sRNA is thought to be a regulator of OmpC expression. MicC inhibits the 30S ribosome binding through a conserved 22 bp RNA duplex near the start codon of the ompC mRNA. The record is from Rfam by way of RNAcentral. Lineage: Bacteria; Bacillati; Bacillota; Clostridia; Peptostreptococcales; Peptostreptococcaceae.